This is a long non-coding RNA of Hordeum vulgare subsp. vulgare (domesticated barley), 1598 nucleotides long. RefSeq lists it as uncharacterized. The record is from RefSeq and is a predicted model, not a curated record. Lineage: Eukaryota; Viridiplantae; Streptophyta; Magnoliopsida; Poales; Poaceae. The transcript has 3 exons.
ACCACCCAACCUGCAGCACGUAAUCCCAUCAGAUCUCACCCCUUCCUCGAGCGUGGGACACCCACCAGCGAAGGAGCUCGAGCUCGCGGCGCUCUGCCGCUACAUGGCUAGAGGACGCCCCAGGCUUCAGAUAUGCGCAUAGCAAUUAACAGAGGCGCAGUGAAAAAGUUGCAGCGGCUCCUCGCUCAGAUCCAGCCCCUUGAGUGUGAUUCCUCCCGCAUCCGGGCGAGGUGGAGGCUACCGUGGUGUCUCGGAACGGCGGGUGGUGAGACACGGGCAGAGAUGCUCCUCACCGCUGGCGUCUGGAUCCGCGCCAUCGAGCCGUGCCCGAGCUUCUCGAAUGAUUCUUGUGGCGGCGACGGCGACGACCACGGCAUAGCGAAGCGAUGACCGGCGGCAGCCCAGUGUCAACGUGCAGGGGGAGAUGCGUUUCACGGCCAGCGUUCGGAUCCGCACCAUCGAACCGUGCCGGAGGUUCUCAGGAUGGUGGCGCACGACCCAUGGAGCACAACCAUGGUCGGAUCUUAGGGAGCACAACCAUGGACGAAUCCCAGGGAGCACGACAUAGCGCGGCCGAGGACCCCCUGCUACUUUCGCUUGCAAGACCCCCAUCCUUGCAUAAGAGCACCAAUCGCCUGCUCGGUGGCCAUAAUUUCUAUGCGUAUUUUGCUUCUUCUUACUUUGGAUCCCUAACUAGCGAGCCUGUUUCUUUCUCUGAAUUUUUCCCCUUUCACUAUCACACACUUUGAUUUAGCUGUAGCUAAUGCAGACCAUGGGUGGUACAGAUCACUAGCUAGCCAGGUCUGCAUCUUUCUCUGACAUUCUCCUCAUUCACUAGCGAGGUGUAGUGUGAUUCUAAAAAAACGUAUUGACGAGAUGAACCUUGUGAUUUCUGAAGUAAACAACAUGUGCUAGAUUUUACUCUAAUUUGUUGUGCAAAGUACCAAUGCCAACUUUACACCUGCCUGGCAACAUAACAUCAACAGUAAUCCUCCGGUGUGGUCGAGUUCGACACAUGUUUGUGCGGCUUUACCUUGGUUCUACUGCCCUCCAUUGUAUUAUCUUUUAUUUGUCUAGAAUCAGGUUUUGAAUCAAGUAUUUAGGGCCAUUUUUCAUUAAUUGGUUGAAUUUUGUUCUGUAGUUGUUGUCGGCAUUGUCCAUUUGGUCCGAAGUAGCAUUUCCCCCCUGCGUGAAGAUGAUUUGACUCUGCUCUAUCAGGAUCAGACUGUUUGUAACCUACUGAUUUAAUUUGUAGAUUACACGAGCUCAUUUGAGGAGAGGGAGGUACAGGACAAAGGGAAGAUCCAAAAUAAUUAUAAAAAACAAAGGGAAAAAGGAGAGUUAUGCACGAAUCAGAGAUGACAUACUAAGGAGGUUUAGUGCCUGAAAUCAUAACUAAGUUGAGUCUGCAUUUCCCAAUGUUUAUGCCGAUGGAAACAUAUGCAUAGAUAUCCUUCAGAGCCGGUGUAGUCCAACAUAUGCACUAGCUAAUAUCCUUACAUUCGUCCAGUAACUAGAAAUAAGCAGCUCAAUUAUUUACACAUCAAUGUUUUGUUUGUUACAUAUACGAGAUCAUAUAUAUCUGAAAAUGUUUUAAC